UACGAAGGGGGCUAGCGUUGCUCGGAAUCACUGGGCGUAAAGGGUGCGUAGGCGGGUCUUUAAGUCAGGGGUGAAAUCCUGGAGCUCAACUCCAGAACUGCCUUUGACACUGAAAGUCUUGAGUAUGGGAGAGGUGAGUGGAACUGCGAGUGUAGAGGUGAAAUUCGUAGAUAUUCGCAAGAACACCAGUGGCGAAGGCGGCUCACUGGCCCAUUACUGACGCUGAGGCACGAAAGCGUGGGGAGCAAACAGG
Molecule: ribosomal RNA, 253 nt
Filed under: uncultured bacterium
Lineage: Bacteria
Description: partial 16S ribosomal RNA
Rfam family: Bacterial small subunit ribosomal RNA
Source: RNAcentral